ACCCGCCCAGUGAUGGGCGGCUGAACAAUCAGAAGUCAGCAGAGGCCAUAGUACCACCCUGUCUCGAGACAAGUGGGAAGGGC
RNAcentral lists this non-coding RNA (83 nucleotides) under uncultured Exiguobacterium sp. The record is from RNAcentral. Lineage: Bacteria; Bacillati; Bacillota; Bacilli; Caryophanales.